RNAcentral lists this long non-coding RNA (541 nucleotides) under Serinus canaria (Common canary). Its description in RNAcentral is "lncRNA (ENSSCAG00000015859.1)". The record is from RNAcentral. Lineage: Eukaryota; Metazoa; Chordata; Aves; Passeriformes; Fringillidae.
GUGGGAUUGAACUCGGGGUGAAUUCCUCAGGGCGGAAAUUUCAGGGUGAAAUCCGGGAUGGAACUCAGGACAAACCCAGAGUGACCCCAAACCCUGCAGGGAUUUUGGUGUCCAGGGAAUGGGAUCAUUCCCGGUUAUCCCAAGUUUUCCAGUGAAAUCCCAGAAAUCCUGGGAGAGCAAAGGAGCAACUCCUGUCCUGGAUUUCCUCAUUUCGGGAAUAUCUGAUCCUCUCCCGGAUUUCUGGAAAAUCCAAAUCCUUUCCCGUUUUUUCAGGAAUAUCCGAUCCUCUCCCAGUUUUCCAGCCCUCCCCCAUUCCUGGUUUUUCCGGAGCCAUCUGGGAACAUUGCCAACCCCCUCCCCCCCAUGGAUUCUCCACCUGCUCCAGGAUGGAGCUGGGAUGGAUCCCAGGGUUGGGGAUGGAUCUCGGGAUCUGGGAUGGAUCUUGGGAACUGGGAUGGAUCCGGGGAUUUGGGAUGGAUCCCAGGGUUGGGGAUGGAUCUUGGGAACUGGGAUGGAUCCCAGCCCUCCUGGUGAUCCCAAC